This 255-nucleotide ribosomal RNA is filed under the name uncultured bacterium. RNAcentral's name for it is "partial 16S ribosomal RNA". It matches the Rfam family "Bacterial small subunit ribosomal RNA", at positions 524 to 776 of the family's 1533-position model. The record is from RNAcentral.
UACGUAGGGCGCAAGCGUUGUCCGGAAUUAUUGGGCGUAAAGAGCUCGUAGGCGGCCUGUUGCGUCCGCUGUGAAAUCCCCGGGGGCUUAACCCCGGGUCGGCAGUGGAUACGGGCAGGCUAGAGGUAGGUAGGGGAGAAUGGAAUUCCCGGUGUAGCGGUGAAAUGCGCAGAUAUCGGGAGGAACACCGGUGGCGAAGGCGGUUCUCUGGGCCUUACCUGACGCUGAGGAGCGAAAGCGUGGGGAGCGAACAGG